GGGAGAAAGUGGGUCUAGAAAGAGUGAAAAGAGCGUAUUUACUAAAACUUCCCCUUUUUCUAUCCACAG
This 69-nucleotide microRNA precursor is filed under the name Mus caroli (Ryukyu mouse). Its description in RNAcentral is "microRNA 6949 (MGP_CAROLIEiJ_G0007374.1)". Lineage: Eukaryota; Metazoa; Chordata; Mammalia; Rodentia; Muridae. The record is from RNAcentral.